Molecule: ribosomal RNA, 800 nt
Filed under: uncultured bacterium
Lineage: Bacteria
Description: bacterial SSU rRNA
Rfam family: Bacterial small subunit ribosomal RNA
Source: RNAcentral
AGAGUUUGAUCAUGGCUCAGAACGAACGCUGGCGGCGUGCUUAACACAUGCAAGUCGAACGCGAAAGUUUUCUUCGGAAAGCGAGUAGAGUGGCGCACGGGUGAGUAACGCGUAAGUAAUCUACCCUGGUAUCUGGGAUAACCCACCGAAAGGUGUGCUAAUACCGGAUACGCUGAUUUAUCAGGAAAGAUGGCCUCUUCAUGAAAGCUAUCGUACCAGGAGGAGCUUGCGUACCAUUAGCUAGUUGGUAGGGUAAUGGCCUACCAAGGCGACGAUGGUUAGCGGGUCUGAGAGGAUGAUCCGCCACACUGGAACUGAAACACGGACCAGACUCCUACGGGAGGCAGCAGUGAGGAAUAUUGCGCAAUGGGGGAAACCCUGACGCAGCGACGCCGCGUGGAUGAUGAAGGCCUUCGGGUCGUAAAAUCCUGUCAGAUGGAAAGAAGUGUAUAUUGCCUAAUACGUGAUAUAUUUGACGGUACCAUCAAAGGAAGCACCGGCUAACUCCGUGCCAGCAGCCGCGGUAAUACGGAGGGUGCAAGCGUUGUUCGGAAUUACUGGGCGUAAAGCGCGCGUAGGCGGCUAUCUAAGUCAGAUGUGAAAGUCCACGGCUCAACCGUGGAAGUGCAUUUGAAACUGGGUGGCUUGAGUACUGGAGGGGGUGGUGGAAUUCCCGGUGUAGAGGUGAAAUUCGUAGAUAUCGGGAGGAAUACCGGUGGCGAAGGCGACCACCUGGCCAGAUACUGACGCUGAGGUGCGAAAGCGUGGGGAGCAAACAGGAUUAGAUACCCUAGUAGUCC